UUUUGCCUACGGGGGGCAGCAGUGAGGAAUAUUGGUCAAUGGCCGCAGGGCUGAACCAGCCAAGUCGCGUGAGGGAUGACGGUCCUAUGGAUUGUAAACCUCUUUUGUCAGGGAGCAAAGGGCGCCACGUGUGGCGUUUUGCGAGUACCUGAAGAAAAAGCAUCGGCUAACUCCGUGCCAGCAGCCGCGGUAAUACGGAGGAUGCGAGCGUUAUCCGGAUUUAUUGGGUUUAAAGGGUGCGUAGGCGGUCCGUUAAGUCAGCGGUACAAUUGCGGGGCUCAACCCCGUCGAGCCGUUGAAACUGG
RNAcentral lists this ribosomal RNA (305 nucleotides) under uncultured bacterium. Its description in RNAcentral is "bacterial SSU rRNA". It matches the Rfam family "Bacterial small subunit ribosomal RNA", at positions 333 to 636 of the family's 1533-position model. The record is from RNAcentral.